GUCAGUGUGGCAUUGUGGUUUGAGUGCUGGACUGCGACUCUAAAGACCAGGGUUUGAUUCCCAGCUUGGCCA
Phrynosoma platyrhinos (Desert horned lizard) is the source of this 72-nucleotide non-coding RNA. The record is from the annotation of a GenBank genome assembly. Lineage: Eukaryota; Metazoa; Chordata; Lepidosauria; Squamata; Phrynosomatidae.